AGAGUUUGAUCAUGGCUCAGGAUGAACGCUGGCGGUCUGCUUAACACAUGCAAGUCGAACGGAACUUUUCGGAGUUCAGUGGCGGACGGGUGAGUAACGCGUGAGAAUCUGCCUUCUGGUCGGGGACAACCACUGGAAACGGUGGCUAAUACCGGAUGAGCCUACGGGUAAAAGAUUUAUUGCCAGAAGAGGAGCUCGCGUCUGAUUAGCUAGUUGGUGAGGUAAAGGCUCACCAAGGCAUCGAUCAGUAGCUGGUCUGAGAGGAUGACCAGCCACACUGGGACUGAGACACGGCCCAGACUCCUACGGGAGGCAGCAGUGGGGAAUUUUCCGCAAUGGGCGAAAGCCUGACGGAGCAAGACCGCGUGAGGGAGGAAGGCUCUUGGGUUGUAAACCUCUUUUCUUGGGGAAGAAAAAAAUGACGGUACCCAAGGAAUCAGCAUCGGCUAACUCCGUGCCAGCAGCCGCGGUAAUACGGAGGAUGCAAGCGUUAUCCGGAAUUAUUGGGCGUAAAGCGUCCGCAGGUGGCACUUCAAGUCUGCUGUCAAAGGUCGGGGCUUAACCCCGGGAAGGCAGUGGAAACUGAAGCGCUAGAGUGUCGUAGGGGUAGAGGGAAUUCCCGGUGUAGCGGUGAAAUGCGUAGAGAUCGGGAAGAACAUCGGUGGCGAAAGCGCUCUACUGGACGACAACUGACACUCAGGGACGAAAGCUAGGGGAGCGAAUGGGAUUAGAUACCCCCGUAGUCC
Molecule: ribosomal RNA, 746 nt
Filed under: uncultured cyanobacterium
Lineage: Bacteria; Bacillati; Cyanobacteriota
Description: bacterial SSU rRNA
Rfam family: Bacterial small subunit ribosomal RNA
Source: RNAcentral